Molecule: ribosomal RNA, 1905 nt
Filed under: metagenome
Description: bacterial LSU rRNA
Rfam family: Bacterial large subunit ribosomal RNA
Source: RNAcentral
CUAUCCAUGGCCAGGUUGAAGGUGUGGUAACACACACUGGAGGACCGAACCGACUAGUGUUGCAAAAUUAGCGGAUGAGCUGUGGAUAGGGGUGAAAGGCCAAACAAAUCUGGAGAUAGCUGGUUCUCCCCGAAAACUAUUGAGGUAGUGCCUCGUGUGUCGCUCCAGGGGGUAGAGCACUGUUUUGGCUAGGGGGACAUGGAGUCUUACCAAACCAAGGCAAACUCCGAAUACCUGGAAGCGUGAGCACGGGAGACAGAGCACCGGGUGCUAACGUCCGGACUCAAAAGGGAAACAACCCAGACCGCCGGCUAAGGUCCCCAAUAACAGCUAAGUGGAAAACGAAGUGGAAAGGCCGUGACAACCAGGAAGUUGGCUUAGAAGCAGCCAUCCUUCAAAGAAAGCGUAAUAGCUCACUGGUCGAGUCCUUCUGCGCGGAAGAUGUAACGGGGCUAAGCUGUUAACCGAAGCCGCGGAUGCACUGAUUAUUCAGUGCGUGGUAGGGGAGCGUUCUGUAAGUCUGCGAAGGCGGUUCGAGAGGACUGCUGGAGAUAUCAGAAGUGCGAAUGCUGACAUGAGUAACGUUAAAGCAGGUGAAAAGCCUGCUCGCCGUAAGCCCAAGGAUUCCUGCUCUACGUUCAUCGGAGCAGGGUGAGUCGGCUCCUAAGGUCAGGCCGAAAGGCGUAGCCGAUGGGAAUCAGGUUAAUAUUCCUGAACCUGCGUCAGAUGCGAUGGGGGGACGGAGCAUGAAAGAUCAUCCGGGUGUUGGAUGUCCCGGUUGACGAGCGUAGGAGGUCUGCAGGCAAAUCCGCAGACGCAUCUCCAAGGCGAAGUCACGUGCCGCCACGGCGGCGAAGUGAUCGGAAGUGCUUCCAAGAAAAGCCUCUAAGCACCAGUCUGACGCGGACCGUACCGCAAACCGACACUGGUGGGCGAGCUGAAUAUGCUCAGGCGCUUGAGAGAACUCGGGAGAAGGAACUCGGCAAAUUGACACCGUAACUUCGGAAGAAGGUGUGCCGUAGUACCGUGAGAGGAGAGACACCUUGAGCGGGAAUCGGUCUCAGAGAAUAGGUGGCUGCGACUGUUUAUUAAAAACACAGCACUCUGCAAAGUCGAAAGACGACGUAUAGGGUGUGAUGCCUGCCCGGUGCUGGAAGAUUAAUUGAUGGGGUGAGAGCCCUUGAUCGAAGCCCCAGUAAACGGCGGCCGUAACUAUAACGGUCCUAAGGUAGCGAAAUUCCUUGUCGGGUAAGUUCCGACCUGCACGAAUGGCAUAACGAUGGCCACACUGUCUCCUCCCGAGACUCAGUGAAGUUGAAAUGUUUGUGAUGAUGCAAUCUACCCGCGGCUAGACGGAAAGACCCCAUGAACCUUUACUGCAGCUUUGCAUUGAACUGUGAACCGAUUUGUGUAGGAUAGGUGGGAGGCAGAGAAGAGGCCACGCCAGUGGUCUUGGAGCCGACCUUGAAAUACCACCCUGAUUUGUUUGCGGUUCUAACCACGGACAGUGAUCCUGUCUUGGGACCGUGCAUGGUAGGCAGUUUGACUGGGGCGGUCUCCUCCUAAAGGGUAACGGAGGAGUACGAAGGUACGCUAGGUACGGUCGGAAAUCGUGCUGAUAGUGCAAUGGCAAAAGCGUGCUUGACUGCGAGAGCAACAACUCGAGCAGAUGCGAAAGCAGGUCAUAGUGAUCCGGUGGCUCUGAAUGGAAGGGCCAUCGCUCAACGGAUAAAAGGUACUCUGGGGAUAACAGGCUGAUACCGCCCAAGAGUUCAUAUCGACGGCGGUGUUUGGCACCUCGAUGUCGGCUCAUCUCAUCCUGGGGCUGUAGUCGGUCCCAAGGGUAUGGCUGUUCGCCAUUUAAAGAGGUACGUGAGCUGGGUUUAAAACGUCGUGAGACAGUUU